Molecule: ribosomal RNA, 492 nt
Filed under: uncultured bacterium
Lineage: Bacteria
Description: partial 16S ribosomal RNA
Rfam family: Bacterial small subunit ribosomal RNA
Source: RNAcentral
AGUGAACGCUGGCGGUAGGCCUAACACAUGCAAGUCGAACGGCAGCACAGUAAGAGCUUGCUCUUACGGGUGGCGAGUGGCGGACGGGUGAGGAAUACAUCGGAAUCUACUUUUUCGUGGGGGAUAACGUAGGGAAACUUACGCUAAUACCGCAUACGACCUACGGGUGAAAUCAGGAGAUCUUCGGACCUUGCGCGAUUGAAUGAGCUGAUGUCGGAUUAGCUAGUUGGCGGGGUAAAGGCCCACCAAGGCGACGAUCCGUAGCUGGUCUGAGAGGAUGAUCAGCCACACUGGAACUGAGACACGGUCCAGACUCCUACGGGAGGCAGCAGUGGGGAAUAUUGGACAAUGGGCGCAAGCCUGAUCCAGCCAUACCGCGUGGGUGAAGAAGGCCUUCGGGUUGUAAAGCCCUUUUGUUGGGAAAGAAAAGCAGCAGGUUAAUACCCCGCUGUUCUGACGGUACCCAAAGAAUAAGCACCGGCUAACUUCGUG